AAUCGUAUACGGGCUCAGCCCAAUAGACUGGUCCAGGCCCAACAAUUGGUUCUACCCUUCCAGUCCUGCGAUACACCCGUCCCGUAUCACUCGACGGAGUGGCCGCCGCCAAGUCCAUCCCCUACCUAGAGUCGUCGACCUGCCGGGCAUCUCCGUCGACGGCGGCGACGAAAGUGGAGGAGGGUUCUUCUACGGUAGCUGCCCCACUGCGCCGCUGUUGAUCCGUCGCAUCACGUCCCCAUCCGUGUCCCCCAUCGCCCUCCUGCAGCCGGAAAGGAACCCGCGGCCGCCGGAAAGGAGCUCGCCGCCGGCUCCUCAUCUCGUCCCUGAACUCCUCCCUCUGUGCCUGGGAAAGCUUCCGGUGGCUGCGGCGGAGGAGGAGAUUGCGCUCGUCUAGUUGUUUUGGAAGAGCAGGUUCUGGACUCAAAGAAGAUUAUACAACAAAUACGUGAUGCCAAGCUUACCAUGAAGCAUAUCUAGCAUUUUAGGAUGCGGUGAUAGAAGAGCUGGAAGGCAAAACUAAAGAAAUAAUAACAAAGAUGUUGCACAAGACAAGAUAAAGGAGCACGAUGUUCUUAUGAAGAGAUUAUCAGAUUUUCGGUGGCGACCGUCAGUGUAGUCAUUGCCUUAGCUGUUGUACUAACUUAUAUGUAUGUUAAGUUAUGAUUCGUUGAAAUGUCAAUAAGUGAUAUUGAAUAUUGAAUUCAUAAUAUCUGAGGGGAAAACAUGUUGCUGCAGGCCCAGCCAUAGCCUUUCUCUUGUUCAACUUAACUGAAGACUACAGCUACACAACCAGCUUGUAUUACUUUCAGUAGAUGAUGCAAAUACACUUGAACAUGUUAAGCUCAAAAACACGCACUUAUUUGUAUAUUAAGUUCU
This is a non-coding RNA of Lolium perenne, 879 nucleotides long. The record is from RefSeq and is a predicted model, not a curated record. NCBI's taxonomy places the organism in Eukaryota, Viridiplantae, Streptophyta, Magnoliopsida, Poales, Poaceae.